CGACCUCGAGCGUAGCUUGGUGUUGAGGAUUGCAGCAGCAUCCUUUAAAAGCAUUGGCGGCAGCGCAGCUCAAUCGCAACAAAAUGCGUGCAAGGCGGCCAACUGCCCGCCAUAAACUCUCCCGUCAGGGACUUUUUACCA
RNAcentral lists this unclassified non-coding RNA (141 nucleotides) under uncultured Dothideomycetes. RNAcentral's name for it is "sequence contains ITS2". The record is from RNAcentral. Lineage: Eukaryota; Fungi; Ascomycota; Dothideomycetes.